GAUGAACGCUGGCGGCGUGCUUAACACAUGCAAGUCGAACGAAGCACUUUAUUUGAUGUCCUUCGGGACUGAGUAUUUUGUGAGUGAGUGGCGGACGUAUGAGUAACUCGAGUGUAAGCUGCCUUGUACAGGGUGAUAACAGUUGGAGACGGCUGCUAAUACCGCAUAAUCGCACAGCAUCGCAUGAUGCAGUGGGAAAAGCUCCGGUGGUAUAAGAUGGAGCCGCGUUGGAUUAGCUAUUUGGUGGGGUAACGGCAAAGCAAGGCCACGAUCCAUACCCGACAUGGUAGGGUGACACGCUACAUUUGGACUGAGGCCCGGACCACACUCGUACGGGAGGCAGCAGUGGGGAAUAUUGCAGGAUGAAGGCAAGCGUGAUGCAGCGACGCCGGGUGUGCGGAGAAGUAUUUUGGUAUGUAAUGCUCUCUGAGAAGGGAAGAUAGUGACGGUAACUGACAAAGAAGCACCGGCUAAAUACGUG
This 481-nucleotide ribosomal RNA is filed under the name uncultured bacterium. RNAcentral's name for it is "partial 16S ribosomal RNA". It matches the Rfam family "Bacterial small subunit ribosomal RNA", at positions 28 to 507 of the family's 1533-position model. The record is from RNAcentral.